UACGGGGGGGGCAAGCGUUGUUCGGAUUCAUUGGGCGUAAAGGGUGCGUAGGCGGUCGCGCAAGUCGGAUGUGAAAUCUCAGGGCUCAACCCUGAAACUGCAUUCGAUACUGCGUGGCUAGAGUGCUGGAGAGGAGACUGGAAUUUACGGUGUAGCAGUGAAAUGCGUAGAUAUCGUAAGGAAGACCAGUGGCGAAGGCGAGUCUCUGGACAGCAACUGACGCUGAGGCACGAAGGCCAGGGGAGCAAACGGG
RNAcentral lists this ribosomal RNA (253 nucleotides) under uncultured bacterium. Its description in RNAcentral is "partial 16S ribosomal RNA". It matches the Rfam family "Bacterial small subunit ribosomal RNA", at positions 524 to 776 of the family's 1533-position model. The record is from RNAcentral.